CUGGGCCUGCGAAUGGCACUGGAAGAAUUCACGGGCUUACUACUGGACCCGUGGACUUUUAGUGCCAUCCCCAGAGCCUU
Molecule: microRNA precursor, 80 nt
Filed under: Agrilus planipennis (emerald ash borer)
Lineage: Eukaryota; Metazoa; Arthropoda; Insecta; Coleoptera; Buprestidae
Description: mir-263 microRNA precursor family
Rfam family: mir-263 microRNA precursor family
Source: Rfam by way of RNAcentral